GUAAUGUCUGGGAAACUGCCUGAUGGAGGGGGAUAACUACUGGAAACGGUGGCUAAUACCGCAUAACGUCGCAAGACCAAAGAGGGGGACCUUCGGGCCUCUUGCCAUCAGAUGUGCCCAGAUGGGAUUAGCUAGUUGGUGAGGUAACGGCUCACCAAGGCGACGAUCCCUAGCUGGUCUGAGAGGAUGACCAGCCACACUGGAACUGAGACACGGUCCAGACUCCUACGGGAGGCAGCAGUGGGGAAUAUUGCACAAUGGGCGCAAGCCUGAUGCAGCCAUGCCGCGUGUAUGAAGAAGGCCUUCGGGUUGUAAAGUACUUUCAGCGGGGAGGAAGGUGUUGUGGUUAAUAACCGCAGCAAUUGACGUUACCCGCAGAAGAAGCACCGGCUAACUCCGUGCCAGCAGCCGCGGUAAUACGGAGGGUGCAAGCGUUAAUCGGAAUUACUGGGCGUAAAGCGCACGCAGGCGGUCUGUCAAGUCGGAUGUGAAAUCCCCGGGCUCAACCUGGGAACUGCAUUCGAAACUGGCAGGCUUGAGUC
RNAcentral lists this ribosomal RNA (542 nucleotides) under Salmonella enterica. RNAcentral's name for it is "bacterial SSU rRNA". It matches the Rfam family "Bacterial small subunit ribosomal RNA", at positions 110 to 648 of the family's 1533-position model. The record is from RNAcentral. Lineage: Bacteria; Pseudomonadati; Pseudomonadota; Gammaproteobacteria; Enterobacterales; Enterobacteriaceae.